RNAcentral lists this ribosomal RNA (2904 nucleotides) under Escherichia coli. RNAcentral's name for it is "partial 23S ribosomal RNA". It matches the Rfam family "Bacterial large subunit ribosomal RNA". Lineage: Bacteria; Pseudomonadati; Pseudomonadota; Gammaproteobacteria; Enterobacterales; Enterobacteriaceae. The record is from RNAcentral.
GGGUUGUGAGGUUAAGCGACUAAGCGUACACGGUGGAUGCCCUGGCAGUCAGAGGCGAUGAAGGACGUGCUAAUCUGCGAUAAGCGUCGGUAAGGUGAUAUGAACCGUUAUAACCGGCGAUUUCCGAAUGGGGAAACCCAGUGUGUUUCGACACACUAUCAUUAACUGAAUCCAUAGGUUAAUGAGGCGAACCGGGGGAACUGAAACAUCUAAGUACCCCGAGGAAAAGAAAUCAACCGAGAUUCCCCCAGUAGCGGCGAGCGAACGGGGAGCAGCCCAGAGCCUGAAUCAGUGUGUGUGUUAGUGGAAGCGUCUGGAAAGGCGCGCGAUACAGGGUGACAGCCCCGUACACAAAAAUGCACAUACUGUGAGCUCGAUGAGUAGGGCGGGACACGUGGUAUCCUGUCUGAAUAUGGGGGGACCAUCCUCCAAGGCUAAAUACUCCUGACUGACCGAUAGUGAACCAGUACCGUGAGGGAAAGGCGAAAAGAACCCCGGCGAGGGGAGUGAAAAAGAACCUGAAACCGUGUACGUACAAGCAGUGGGAGCACGCUUAGGCGUGUGACUGCGUACCUUUUGUAUAAUGGGUCAGCGACUUAUAUUCUGUAGCAAGGUUAACCGAAUAGGGGAGCCGAAGGGAAACCGAGUCUUAACUGGGCGUUAAGUUGCAGGGUAUAGACCCGAAACCCGGUGAUCUAGCCAUGGGCAGGUUGAAGGUUGGGUAACACUAACUGGAGGACCGAACCGACUAAUGUUGAAAAAUUAGCGGAUGACUUGUGGCUGGGGGUGAAAGGCCAAUCAAACCGGGAGAUAGCUGGUUCUCCCCGAAAGCUAUUUAGGUAGCGCCUCGUGAAUUCAUCUCCGGGGGUAGAGCACUGUUUCGGCAAGGGGGUCAUCCCGACUUACCAACCCGAUGCAAACUGCGAAUACCGGAGAAUGUUAUCACGGGAGACACACGGCGGGUGCUAACGUCCGUCGUGAAGAGGGAAACAACCCAGACCGCCAGCUAAGGUCCCAAAGUCAUGGUUAAGUGGGAAACGAUGUGGGAAGGCCCAGACAGCCAGGAUGUUGGCUUAGAAGCAGCCAUCAUUUAAAGAAAGCGUAAUAGCUCACUGGUCGAGUCGGCCUGCGCGGAAGAUGUAACGGGGCUAAACCAUGCACCGAAGCUGCGGCAGCGACGCUGAUGCGUUGUUGGGUAGGGGAGCGUUCUGUAAGCCUGUGAAGGUGUGCUGUGAGGCAUGCUGGAGGUAUCAGAAGUGCGAAUGCUGACAUAAGUAACGAUAAAGCGGGUGAAAAGCCCGCUCGCCGGAAGACCAAGGGUUCCUGUCCAACGUUAAUCGGGGCAGGGUGAGUCGACCCCUAAGGCGAGGCCGAAAGGCGUAGUCGAUGGGAAACAGGUUAAUAUUCCUGUACUUGGUGUUACUGCGAAGGGGGGACGGAGAAGGCUAUGUUGGCCGGGCGACGGUUGUCCCGGUUUAAGCGUGUAGGCUGGUUUUCCAGGCAAAUCCGGAAAACUAAGGCUGAGGCGUGAUGACGAGGCACUACGGUGCUGAAGCAACAAAUGCCCUGCUUCCAGGAAAAGCCUCUAAGCAUCAGGUAACAUCAAAUCGUACCCCAAACCGACACAGGUGGUCAGGUAGAGAAUACCAAGGCGCUUGAGAGAACUCGGGUGAAGGAACUAGGCAAAAUGGUGCCGUAACUUCGGGAGAAGGCACGCUGAUAUGUAGGUGAAGCGACUUGCUCGUGGAGCUGAAAUCAGUCGAAGAUACCAGCUGGCUGCAACUGUUUAUUAAAAACACAGCACUGUGCAAACACGAAAGUGGACGUAUACGGUGUGACGCCUGCCCGGUGCCGGAAGGUUAAUUGAUGGGGUCAGCGCAAGCGAAGCUCUUGAUCGAAGCCCCGGUAAACGGCGGCCGUAACUAUAACGGUCCUAAGGUAGCGAAAUUCCUUGUCGGGUAAGUUCCGACCUGCACGAAUGGCGUAAUGAUGGCCAGGCUGUCUCCACCCGAGACUCAGUGAAAUUGAACUCGCUGUGAAGAUGCAGUGUACCCGCGGCAAGACGGAAAGACCCCGUGAACCUUUACUAUAGCUUGACACUGAACAUUGAGCCUUGAUGUGUAGGAUAGGUGGGAGGCUUUGAAGUGUGGACGCCAGUCUGCAUGGAGCCGACCUUGAAAUACCACCCUUUAAUGUUUGAUGUUCUAACGUUGACCCGUGAUCCGGGUUGCGGACAGUGUCUGGUGGGUAGUUUGACUGGGGCGGUCUCCUCCUAAAGAGUAACGGAGGAGCACGAAGGUUGGCUAAUCCUGGUCGGACAUCAGGAGGUUAGUGCAAUGGCAUAAGCCAGCUUGACUGCGAGCGUGACGGCGCGAGCAGGUGCGAAAGCAGGUCAUAGUGAUCCGGUGGUUCUGAAUGGAAGGGCCAUCGCUCAACGGAUAAAAGGUACUCCGGGGAUAACAGGCUGAUACCGCCCAAGAGUUCAUAUCGACGGCGGUGUUUGGCACCUCGAUGUCGGCUCAUCACAUCCUGGGGCUGAAGUAGGUCCCAAGGGUAUGGCUGUUCGCCAUUUAAAGUGGUACGCGAGCUGGGUUUAGAACGUCGUGAGACAGUUCGGUCCCUAUCUGCCGUGGGCGCUGGAGAACUGAGGGGGGCUGCUCCUAGUACGAGAGGACCGGAGUGGACGCAUCACUGGUGUUCGGGUUGUCAUGCCAAUGGCACUGCCCGGUAGCUAAAUGCGGAAGAGAUAAGUGCUGAAAGCAUCUAAGCACGAAACUUGCCCCGAGAUGAGUUCUCCCUGACUCCUUGAGAGUCCUGAAGGAACGUUGAAGACGACGACGUUGAUAGGCCGGGUGUGUAAGCGCAGCGAUGCGUUGAGCUAACCGGUACUAAUGAACCGUGAGG